UACAGAGGUGGCAAGCGUUGUUCGGAAUUACUGGGCGUAAAGGGCGCGUAGGCGGCCUUCUAAGUCAGACGUGAAAUCCCCCGGCUUAACCUGGGAACUGCGUCUGAUACUGGAGGGCUUGAGUAUGGGAGAGGGAUGUAGAAUUCCAGGUGUAGCGGUGAAAUGCGUAGAUAUCUGGAGGAAUACCGGUGGCGAAGGCGGCAUCCUGGACCAUUACUGACGCUGAGGAGCGAAAGCGUGGGGAGCGAACAGG
RNAcentral lists this ribosomal RNA (253 nucleotides) under uncultured bacterium. RNAcentral's name for it is "partial 16S ribosomal RNA". It matches the Rfam family "Bacterial small subunit ribosomal RNA", at positions 524 to 776 of the family's 1533-position model. The record is from RNAcentral.